This 430-nucleotide ribosomal RNA is filed under the name uncultured bacterium. Its description in RNAcentral is "bacterial SSU rRNA". It matches the Rfam family "Bacterial small subunit ribosomal RNA", at positions 354 to 796 of the family's 1533-position model. The record is from RNAcentral.
GUGGGGAAUAUUGCACAAUGGGCGAAAGCCUGAUGCAGCAACGCCGCGUGAGGGACGAAGGCCUUCGGGUUGUAAACCUCUUUUAGUAGGGAAGAAGCGAAAGUGACGGUACCUGCAGAAAAAGCACCGGCUAACUACGUGCCAGCAGCCGCGGUAAUACGUAGGGUGCAAGCGUUAUCCGGAAUUAUUGGGCGUAAAGAGCUCGUAGGCGGUCUGUCGCGUCUGCUGUGAAAACUGGAGGCUCAACCUCCAGCCUGCAGUGGGUACGGGCAGACUAGAGUGCGGUAGGGGAGAUUGGAAUUCCUGGUGUAGCGGUGGAAUGCGCAGAUAUCAGGAGGAACACCGAUGGCGAAGGCAGAUCUCUGGGCCGUAACUGACGCUGAGGAGCGAAAGCGUGGGGAGCGAACAGGAUUAGAUACCCCUGUAGUCC